GCCGGGCGCGGUGGCGCACGCCUGUAAUCCCAGCACUUUGGGAGGCCGAGGCGGGCGGAUCACCUGAGGUCGGGAGUUCCAGACCAGCUUGACCAACAUGGAGAAACCCCGUCUCUA
Molecule: non-coding RNA, 117 nt
Filed under: Nomascus leucogenys (northern white-cheeked gibbon)
Lineage: Eukaryota; Metazoa; Chordata; Mammalia; Primates; Hylobatidae
Source: Rfam by way of RNAcentral